UAGAGGGAAUUCCCAGUGUAGCGGUGAAAUGCGUAGAUAUUGGGAAGAACACCAGUGGCGAAGGCGCUCUACUGGGCCGCAACUGACGCUGAGGGACGAAAGCUAGGGGAGCGAAAGGGAUUAGAUACCCCUGUAGUCCUAGCCGUAAACGAUGGACACUAGGUGUUGGGUGUAUCGACCCAUCCAGUACCGUAGCCAACGCGUUAAGUGUCCCGCCUGGGGAGUACGCACGCAAGUGUGAAACUCAAAGGAAUUGACGGGGGCCCGCACAAGCGGUGGAGUAUGUGGUUUAAUUCGAUGCAACGCGAAGAACCUUACCAGGGCUUGACAUCCCGCGAAUCUUUCAGAAAUGAGAGAGUGCCUUCGGGAGCGCGGAGACAGGUGGUGCAUGGCUGUCGUCAGCUCGUGUCGUGAGAUGUUGGGUUAAGUCCCGCAACGAGCGCAACCCUCGUCCUUAGUUGCCAUCAUUAAGUUGGGCACUCUGGGGAGACUGCCGGGGACAACUCGGAGGAAGGUGGGGAUGACGUCAAGUCAUCAUGCCCCUUACGUUCUGGGCUACACACGUACUACAAUGCUUCGGACAGAGGGCAGCGAGCGUGCGAGCGCAAGCUAAUCCCAUAAACCGAGGCACAGUUCAGAUUGCAGGCUGCAACUCGCCUGCAUGAAGGCGGAAUCGCUAGUAAUCGCAGGUCAGCAUACUGCGGUGAAUACGUUCCCGGGCCUUGUACACACCGCCCGUCACACCAUGGGAGUUGGCCACGCCCGAAGUCGUUACUCUAACCCAAUGGGAGGAGGGUGCCGAAGGUGGGGCUGAUGACUGGGGUGAAGUCGUAACAAGGUAGCCGUACCGGAAGGUGUGGCUGGAUCACCU
This 871-nucleotide ribosomal RNA is filed under the name uncultured bacterium. RNAcentral's name for it is "bacterial SSU rRNA". It matches the Rfam family "Bacterial small subunit ribosomal RNA", at positions 658 to 1528 of the family's 1533-position model. The record is from RNAcentral.